RNAcentral lists this ribosomal RNA (460 nucleotides) under uncultured bacterium. Its description in RNAcentral is "partial 16S ribosomal RNA". It matches the Rfam family "Bacterial small subunit ribosomal RNA", at positions 338 to 795 of the family's 1533-position model. The record is from RNAcentral.
CCUACGGGAGGCAGCAGUGAGGAAUAUUGGUCAAUGGACGAGAGUCUGAACCAGCCAAGUAGCGUGAAGGAUGACUGCCCUAUGGGUUGUAAACUUCUUUUAUAUGGGAAUAAAAUGUUCCAAGUGUGGGAUUUUGUAUGUACCAUAUGAAUAAGGAUCGGCUAACUCCGUGCCAGCAGCCGCGGUAAUACGGAGGAUCCGAGCGUUAUCCGGAUUUAUUGGGGUUAAAGGGAGCGUAGGUGGAUUGUUAAGUCAGUUGUGAAAGUUUGCGGCUCAACCGUAAAAUUGCAGUUGAAACUGGCAGUCUUGAGUACAGUAGAGGUGGGCGGAAUUCGUGGUGUAGCGGUGAAAUGCUUAGAUAUCACGAAGAACUCCGAUUGCGAAGGCAGUUCACUGGACUGCAACUGACACUGAGGCUCGAAAGUGUGGGUAUCAAACAGGAUUAGAGACCCGAGUAGUC